Myotis davidii is the source of this 71-nucleotide non-coding RNA. Lineage: Eukaryota; Metazoa; Chordata; Mammalia; Chiroptera; Vespertilionidae. The record is from Rfam.
GGCAGUUCUUGGGUGACGCACCCUGGAAUCAGAUUCCCUCUUCUCUUAUUCCGGGUGGGUCCCCAAGAACC